Molecule: ribosomal RNA, 468 nt
Filed under: uncultured bacterium
Lineage: Bacteria
Description: partial 16S ribosomal RNA
Rfam family: Bacterial small subunit ribosomal RNA
Source: RNAcentral
GACGAACGCUGGCGGCGUGCUUAACACAUGCAAGUCGAACGGAAAGGCCCUGCUCUUGUGGGGUGCUCGAGUGGCGAACGGGUGAGUAACACGUGAGUAACCUGCCCUUGACUUUGGGAUAACUUCAGGAAACUGGGGCUAAUACCGGAUAGGAGCUCCUGCUGCAUGGUGGGGGUUGGAAAGUUUCGGCGGUUGGGGAUGGACUCGCGGCUUAUCAGCUUGUUGGUGAGGUAGUGGCUUACCAAGGCUUUGACGGGUAGCCGGCCUGAGAGGGUGACCGGCCACAUUGGGACUGAGAUACGGCCCAGACUCCUACGGGAGGCAGCGGUGGGGAAUAUUGCAGAAUGGGCGGAAGCCUGAUGCAGCAACGCCGCGUGCGGGAUGACGGCCUUCGGGUUGUAAACCGCUUUCGCCUGUGACGAGGCGUGAGUGACGGUAAUGGGUAAAGAAGCACCGGCUAACUACGUG